GUAUACAUUUCUCUAUUUUUCUCCAACAGCCACCCACUUUUAUUGCCAAUGAAAGAGUCCAAUUCCAGCCUUCUUUAUGUUACUUUUAAUUCCUUCAGCUGCUUCGACUUUCGUGGGAAUUAUAUAUGUAAUUCAGCUUGCAGCCAACCAGUUAAUUCCACACAGCUAGCCGUCUUUAUCAAUUCAGCAACUUAAUUCCCCAGCUGUUUCAAUCUCUCCCCAAGCAGCCUGCUUCCUGUGGGAAUUAUAUAUGUAUAAAAAUCAGAUUUGAGCCCACCAAUUAAUUCCCCACCUGCUGGCCGACAAUCACAAUUCAACCACGCAAUCUAUCGGCUUUAUGUGGGUGAGUGUAUAUAUAUAAUUUAACUUUUGCAGCCCACUAAUUCACCCCCACAAACUUCUCAAUUGUUUUGGUGGAAGAAUUC
Molecule: long non-coding RNA, 425 nt
Filed under: Olea europaea (common olive)
Lineage: Eukaryota; Viridiplantae; Streptophyta; Magnoliopsida; Lamiales; Oleaceae
Description: long non-coding RNA (OEUR_LNC015657)
Source: RNAcentral